AUCCAGCUGAUGAGUCUCAAAUAGGACGAAAUGCGCGUUUCGGAU
This is a non-coding RNA of Schistosoma haematobium, 45 nucleotides long. NCBI's taxonomy places the organism in Eukaryota, Metazoa, Platyhelminthes, Trematoda, Strigeidida, Schistosomatidae. The record is from Rfam.